Pipistrellus kuhlii (Kuhl's pipistrelle) is the source of this 601-nucleotide long non-coding RNA. RefSeq lists it as uncharacterized. The transcript is spliced from 2 exons. The record is from RefSeq and is a predicted model, not a curated record. NCBI's taxonomy places the organism in Eukaryota, Metazoa, Chordata, Mammalia, Chiroptera, Vespertilionidae.
CCCCGCCCUCCCUUCCUCUUCCUCCUUUCGCUUUCGCGCGCCCAGCGAUGGCUCGCGCCUGCUAAGAGGCCCCGAGCGCGUGCAUCUGCCCCGCGGCCGCCGCUCGGCAGCAUUUGCUCCGGGGGGCGGGGACGGGCGGGGAGGAGGGGCGCCACGCCGCCGGCCAAAGUACCGGCGGACGGGCGCGGGGGCGGGUCCGGGGGCGGGGCCUCCCGGAGUCGGCUCGGCCAAUCGCCGCCUUGCCUCGGCCGGGCCGGCCCAAUAGGUUGGCGGUGAGUGGGGCGGCGUUCAAGAUCCCACACCUGCUCGCUUUUCCUGCUUCCGGAGCCCACGCUGGACCCCACCCCCACCGCGUAGACUGCCUGGCACCAGCCAGACCCUCCCCCGAUCCAGCGCUGGUCUCCGGGUGUGCCCGCAUCCGCCCGCAUCCGCCCGCUCCCACAACCCCCUCUACCUUCUGGCCUUCCCAGCCUCCGGCCGCAGUGGCCGUUUAGACGGGCGCUCCCUUCUCGGUUACUCUCCUUGUCUGCAGUCCUGGAACGGGGUUUGACAGCCCUCUCCCCUCCGAAGAUGAGAUUAAAAGAGGAAAGACUUAAAUCAU